UAGUGGACGAGAUCAACAAGAUUGCUUCAAUAGCACUGAGCCUGAAUGUUCCUGGGCAAAUUUUUAUGAUAUUGAAGAAAGUCCAUCCCCGAGUCUUUGCGAGCACGCAUGAUUACAGAUGGUUAAAAGGUUGCCAAAAUGUCGCGUGUUAUUUCAUAGUAGCUAUGUAAUCUUUCCCCCAAAUAUGUCUGCACCAAGAGUAAUUGAGGCAGCGAAAAGAGGCGCCAAAGCUCCAGAUUUUUUCUACUGCCUCAAGUUUCUGGAAGCAACUAGAGUUUUCACUGUUCUGGGAUCUGGUUUUGUCAAAAGGAGGAAGACUUCCCUGACAUGAUGUUGAGCUUCAAGAAUUUCAAUGACUCAUUCAUGGAGCAAUAUGAGGGCUACUCUAGAAUGUAAAAAAGAACACACAACAUAGAAGACCCGGCUGUCAGAUUCUCCAUUUCAGUAUCAAUGCUAUCGAGCAUUUCCAAGGACAUUAAUUGAAAAUUAGUUGUAGCUCGUUUAAAUGACACGACGCGACUCGGCUGCCAAGUUUUGUGUCUCAAGUGAGGCGCCUGUGCUUCCCGAUCGGUAGCUAGCAAAAGAUUUUUUUAGAUUAAGGAUAAAAAUCCGGCCUGCUAUAUCCACAUGGUGGACAUAUACAGCUAAAGGUUUCAAAGAGUUUUUAGACUCUAGUCCUCACCAAUGAGAAGCUCAAAACACAAGAAAGAAAACUCUAAGACAGAGGAAAAACUAGAAGGCUAAGCUUCAUUCUUCUUCUUCGUCCAUGCUUUGUCCUUGCGUUGUCUUCAUGCUCAUCAAGCUAUCACAUCAUUCGUCUGCUUAGAAACUUGAUGUUGGACUUGGUAUACUUGUCUUCUAUCGCUCGCACAACAAACUCCACCUUAGGUAAUUAGGGUCAAGCCAAAAGACUUCCACCGCGACGCCUCCAAGAAGGAAACGACAUCGAAGACGCCAUCACCGUCCAUCCGGCAAGCCGGAUUAAGGUUUUCACCUAGAAGACCAAUAACAUUGCAGAGAGCAUCACAGCAAACACCUCAACGGAGGGAAACAACGCCCAAUCGACGCCGGAUGCUGACUCGAUCAAACAUGUAAGGCUUUCGCCCGUAACUCCUGCACGACCUCAUCAUCACCCCAACCAGGAAUCUGCGACAUUCUUGUGGCCAAACCUGCCUGGUCGCUCCGCAUAGUGGAGUCAACACCACCAGGAGGAGGCACCGAAGACGCGUAGGCUGCCGUGCACCAUUCGCGGACGCCGGUCACUACCGAGCAGGGGCCACUCAGGGCUGCCGCCGUCACAGCCAGUAGAUCGAGGACGCAGGCCACAAGAGCAUGGCGCAACAAGACAACUCCUCCACCGAACACGACCAACGCCCAGCUGCCAUCGCUGUCAUCGUCAAUGCCAUCUACGCCAUACCUAGUCUGAUGCGCUGCCAUGUCUGGGUCGCAUUCCAGCUGUCGCCGACACGGUAUGCAGCAGGCUGCCGCCUCUUGCCGACGCCGAUGCGGUGCUACCGCCCAAACAGCGGGCCACUGCCUCGGGCCGACGCCGUCAUGGUACCGUCGCCCCACGGCAGGCCGUCGCCUCUAUCCAUUUCCAAACGCAGGCCGCCGCUGCCACGGGCCACCGCCGUCACCGCCACCGGCCACACCACUGCAAAUUUAGGCAUCUAGCCCCCGCAAGCACCCACCAUGGCUCCACCAGGGAAGUCCGAAAUCGGUUUAGGGGACACCGGAUCCUGGCCCGCCGAUGCCGGAUCUAGGCACCACCACAAGUGCGGCCGCCACCGGCGAACCGCCACAGUAGCAGGAGAUUAAGGAUAGGGUGGGAGAAGUUGUGGAGGAGGAAGAGGUUUUUUCACGGGGAAUUUGAUGUGCCCACCGCCACCCUCGUCGUGGCCAGGCGGACUUCCACCGGCAGGCUCCGGCAGCGGCGAGAUGGAGGGGGAGGAGGGUGCGGUGCUAGAAGGUUGGAGGAGGCACCGCCCGAGUCGCCCUAGGGCGACGCGUGGGCCAGGAGCUGAAAAGACGCCUCUCUCUUCCAGCUAACAAAAGAUGGCUGUCUGGGCAUGGGUACAUUUCAACGGAAGAGGAUAAGUUGGUUGAACCUGUCGAUAAACAUAAGUCUAUAACAUGGCAAUACGAGUGUAUAUCAUGCACAUUGCCUUGGAAUGUUAAGUUAGUGGAAAACAUAGGCGAUGUCCUCUGAUCGCUUGGUAUAUAUCGUGCUACAAAAGAUUCUGAUGGCGAGUGCA
Molecule: long non-coding RNA, 2255 nt
Organism: Setaria italica (foxtail millet)
Lineage: Eukaryota; Viridiplantae; Streptophyta; Magnoliopsida; Poales; Poaceae
Exons: 4
Source: RefSeq, a predicted model, not a curated record